RNAcentral lists this ribosomal RNA (753 nucleotides) under uncultured prokaryote. Its description in RNAcentral is "bacterial SSU rRNA". It matches the Rfam family "Bacterial small subunit ribosomal RNA", at positions 715 to 1482 of the family's 1533-position model. The record is from RNAcentral.
GCGAAGNCAGCUUGCUGGACUGUAACUGACGCUGAGGCACGAAAGCGUGGGGAUCAANCAGGAUNAGAUACCCUGGUANNCCACGCCGUAAACGAUGAAUGCUAGCUGUUAGCGAUAUACUGUUAGCNGCACAGAGAAAUCGUUAAGCAUUCCACCUGGGGAGUACGCCGGCAACGGUGAAACUCAAAGGAAUUGACGGGGGCCCGCACAAGCGGAGGAACAUGUGGUUUAAUUCGAUGAUACGCGAGGAACCUUACCUGGGCUUAAAUUGCAGUGGAAUAACGUGGAAACAUGUUAGCCUUCGGGCCGCUGUGAAGGUGCUGCAUGGUUGUCGUCAGCUCGUGCCGUGAGGUGUCGGCUUAAGUGCCAUAACGAGCGCAACCCUCAUCGAUAGUUACUAACAGGUUAAGCUGAGGACUCUAUCGAGACUGCCGACGUAAGUCGUGAGGAAGGUGGGGAUGACGUCAAAUCAGCACGGCCCUUACGUCCAGGGCUACACACGUGUUACAAUGGGGGGUACAAAGGGCAGCUACCUGGCGACAGGAUGCUAAUCUCAAAAACCUCUCUCAGUUCGGAUUGGAGUCUGCAACCCGACUCCAUGAAGCUGGAUUCGCUAGUAAUCGCGCAUCAGCCACGGCGCGGUGAAUACGUUCCCGGGCCUUGUACACACCGCCCGUCAAGCCAUGGGAGCCGGGGGGACCUGAAGUAUGCAACCGUAAGGAGCGUCCUAGGGUAAAACUGGUGACUGGGGCU